This 777-nucleotide ribosomal RNA is filed under the name uncultured Neocallimastigales. RNAcentral's name for it is "partial large subunit ribosomal RNA". It matches the Rfam family "Eukaryotic large subunit ribosomal RNA", at positions 26 to 618 of the family's 3401-position model. Lineage: Eukaryota; Fungi; Neocallimastigomycota; Neocallimastigomycetes; Neocallimastigales. The record is from RNAcentral.
CGUCUAUAUACGUAUAGCAUAUCAAUAAGCGGAGGAAAAGAAACUAACAAGGAUUCCCUUAGUAACGGCGAGUGAAGCGGGAAGAGCUCAAAUUUGAAAUCUUCAAGGUUCUACCUUGACGAAUUGUAGUUUAAAGAAGUGUUUUCUGUUAGAGGAGUAGCAAAAGUUCCUUGGGAUAGGGACAUCAUAGAGGGUGAGAAUCCCGUAUUUGACCAUUAUUUUCUAGCUGUGUGAUACACUUUCAAAGAGUCGGAUUGUUUGGGAAUGCAGUCCAAAAUGGGUGGUAAAUUUCAUCUAAAGCUAAAUAUUGGCGAGAGACCGAUAGCGAACAAGUACCGUGAGGGAAAGAUGAAAAGAACUUUGAAAAGAGAGUUAAACAGUACGUGAAAUUGUCAAAAGGGAAGCGUUUGACACCAGUGUUGUUUUUCCGAAAAUCAAUUAAGAGUGGCUUGAUUUUGUGUUGUAUUGACCUUAUCAGCUUUCUUCACUCUUUUUCGAGUCUUUCUUAAUGCACUUUUCGGUUAACAAGUCAACAUCAAUUUCUUUUGUUGUAAAAGGGUAUUUGGAAGGUGGCUUUCUUUUCGGAGAAAGUGUUUAUAGCCUUAUACCUCUACAAUCGGAGAGAUUGAGGUCUGCAGCGUAGAUCCUUCGGGGCUAGAUACACUUGUGCUAAGUUAUAGCUUUUCAUAGACAACUUGUUGACUAUGUUUAGUCAUGUAGCUUACCCGCUUGUGCUAUUUUACCUACGCUUAGGAUGUUGAGUCAUCACACAUCUCU